CUACGGGCGGCAGCAGUGGGGAAUAUUGCACAAUGGAGGAAACUCUGAUGCAGCAACGCCGCGUGGAGGAUGACACUUUUCGGAGCGUAAACUCCUUUUAUAUAGGAAGAUAAUGACGGUACUAUAUGAAUAAGCACCGGCUAACUCCGUGCCAGCAGCCGCGGUAAUACGGAGGGUGCAAGCGUUACUCGGAAUCACUGGGCGUAAAGAGCGUGUAGGCGGGUUAAUAAGUCAGAAGCGAAAUCCUAUGGCUCAACCAUAGAACUGCUUUUGAAACUGUUAACCUAGAGUGUGGGAGAGGUAGAUGGAAUUUCUGGUGUAGGGGUAAAAUCCGUAGAGAUCAGAAGGAAUACCGAUUGCGAAGGCGAUCUACUGGAACAUAACUGACGCUGAGACGCGAAAGCGUGGGGAGCAAACAGGAUUAGAUACCCGGGUAGUC
RNAcentral lists this ribosomal RNA (439 nucleotides) under uncultured bacterium. Its description in RNAcentral is "partial 16S ribosomal RNA". It matches the Rfam family "Bacterial small subunit ribosomal RNA", at positions 339 to 795 of the family's 1533-position model. The record is from RNAcentral.